Molecule: ribosomal RNA, 445 nt
Filed under: uncultured bacterium
Lineage: Bacteria
Description: bacterial SSU rRNA
Rfam family: Bacterial small subunit ribosomal RNA
Source: RNAcentral
CCCAGACUCCUACGGGAGGCAGCAGUGGGGAAUAUUGCACAAUGGGGGAAACCCUGAUGCAGCGACGCCGCGUGAGUGAUGAAGUAUUUCGGUAUGUAAAGCUCUAUCAGCAGGGAAGAUAAUGACGGUACCUGACUAAGAAGCUCCGGCUAAAUACGUGCCAGCAGCCGCGGUAAUACGUAUGGAGCAAGCGUUAUCCGGAUUUACUGGGUGUAAAGGGAGCGCAGACGGCAGGGCAAGUCUGAUGUGAAAGUCCGGGGCUCAACCCCGGGACUGCAUUGGAAACUGUUGAACUGGAGUACAGGAGAGGUAAGCGGAAUUCCUAGUGUAGCGGUGAAAUGCGUAGAUAUUAGGAGGAACACCAGUGGCGAAGGCGGCUUACUGGACUGUAACUGACGUUGAGGCUCGAAAGCGUGGGGAGCAAACAGGAUUAGAUACCCGCGUA